This 1256-nucleotide long non-coding RNA is filed under the name Eutrema salsugineum. Its description in RNAcentral is "long non-coding RNA (ESAL_LNC001933)". Lineage: Eukaryota; Viridiplantae; Streptophyta; Magnoliopsida; Brassicales; Brassicaceae. The record is from RNAcentral.
UAGUAUAAUGGACAGUUAGACCAGCCACAGAAACUGAGUUUCUGAUUUUAUUUUUAAAUCUUUGUAUUUUAUUGUUUGAAAAUUUUCUAAAACAAAAAAAUAUAAUUUAGUUAGGGUUUAUGAAUUUUGUCAUAAAUUUUUUCUGUCAUAAAUCGGCACAUAAACUUAGUUUAUGAUGGAGAGAGCAGAUCUUCCAAACCUGGAACCAAUCAUCAAAUUAAAACCGAAAAAUCCAUUCAACAAAUAGAAUCAACAAAAUAGAAUACAGAAUCAACAAAAUCCAUCAACAAAAUGAAGAAUACAGAUGAACUUACACAAAAAAUUACCUGUUAGAGCUAUACACACAUUUAUAGAAUCGUUUCUCAACUCUUGAGAAUUUCUCAUUGAAGCCAAUGGGAUCAUCACCUUCCUCCAACGCACCAGAUUCCCCUUUUAAAUCUCAUUCAUUCUCCCUGUCCUGAAAAGCCUUGCAAAAUUUCACAAAUAAUCCGACCUUCACAGGAGGCGUAUGCUGCUUUUGAGAGUAGGGAGUUUAUCUUUUCUGUCGUAAAAAAUCUGUAUGUCUUCUACGGUCAGAAACGAGAGAACAGAUCUUCCAAGCCAGAACCAGUCAUUAAUAUCCAUUCAAUAAGAGAAGGAGAUGUUCGAUACUAUCACCAUUCAAACACUAAAGGUAAUCAAAAGAAAUUCCAAAAUCUUACCAUGGAAAUGUAAAUGUUGCAGGUUACAUUCAGGUUCGUCCAUGAUUUUACGGAAAGACGAUGAGAUAUUGAAGAAACAGAAAUGAACAAAUCGGAAGUUGAAAUCAGCGGGAAAAAGAAGAUGGUCUUGAUAGUAAUAUCUUCGAUCUAAACAAUAUCUAAACGAGAGAAGGAGAUGUUCAAUACUAUCACCAUUCAAACACCAAAGAUAAUCAAAAGAAAUUCCAAAAUCUUAUCAUGGAAAUGUAAAUGCUGCAGGUUAUAUUCAGGUUCGUCCAUGAUUAUACGGAAAGAAGAUGAGAUAUCGAAGAAACAGAGAUGAACAAAUCAGAAAUUGAAGUCAGCGGAAAAAGAAGAUGGUCUUGAUAGUAAUAUCUUCGAUCUAAACAAUAGGUUCGAUUUGGUUAGGGUUAGGAUUUUCCUGAGAUAUGUAAUGGGCCAAUCUGUUUUUACUAUGGGAUUUUGCAAUCGGUCUAGAGUCCAUCAAGAACAAAAACUGGAAAAGACUACAUAGCGUUACAAUUUUGAUUUAUUAUAAACUUGACUAAAUCGCAG